RNAcentral lists this long non-coding RNA (838 nucleotides) under Heterocephalus glaber (naked mole-rat). RNAcentral's name for it is "lncRNA (ENSHGLG00000050707.1)". Lineage: Eukaryota; Metazoa; Chordata; Mammalia; Rodentia; Bathyergidae. The record is from RNAcentral.
GGACCUGCCAAGGCUGCAUAAGGCCUUGACUUUCACCUCUAGAAUGGAGAAGAAGGGAAGCCAGAGAUGGGCAUUGUCCUGACCGCAGGAGGCCCACAGCAGAUCAGAUCUACCCGUCAGCUGGCAAGCAGCACGAGCACCAGCACGUCGUAUUGUCCCGAGGACAAUCCAAACAGGGGCCCAAGGCCAUCAGAUGUCUGAGGAGGAGUGGUGGAGACUUGGUGUCCAGGAGUCCAGGCUGGGUUCGGGACACGCUCAUGAGCCUGAGCGCCUGCUCUUCCCUGUAGAUGACCUCUGCUGAGAGAUCCUCUAACAUGGCGUAUGUCGGGGGUCAUUGGAGAAACUGUCUCCAAAUCUAACGUCUACGUGUACCUGCCCUGGCAAUCGGGAAACCCUUGAAAAAUGUACAAGUCGUUCAUCCCUGCCUGAGAUGUGUGCCGAAGCCACGGAGCUGCAAGCAGCGAUUGCAAGGUCUGGAACUCAGAAGCUUGAGCGAUCCUCCUGAGUCAGCCUUCCAAGCUGCUGGGACAGCAGAGACGUGAACUUCCACACCCAGCUCCAUUACAUCUUCAUUGUUAUUCUCCUCCCCCCCUUCCUUUCUGUUAACAAAUACAUGUUGAGCAACUACUAAGUGUCAUGUACUGGCCGGUACCAGUGACAUUUCAGGGAACAAACCAAAUACGUAUUUAUGUCUUCAUCUGUUACAUCUGGCUUUUAAAGGCAGCAGCAGGACAGUCGCCUUGCCAAAUAUUUUCUCUUCCCUGCCUUCCCUAUCAAGGUAAAUCUUUGCACUUAAAAAUAAGCUCAAAUAGCAAAGAGCACCAAAUUAUUAUCACCA